UUGUGUCAUAUGAUGAUACUUUCUGUUAUGGGCCCAAAAGCUCUCUGGGAAGACUCUUGGUUAAAGAUCACAGAGCCUAAAUAGACCCUGCUGGGAAUGAGAGAGGAGAGCAGAAAAAGCUACUCUCUCACUGGGUAACAGCAGGGUCCUGAGGCCAAGAUAUGAGAGGUGUUAUGGCAAAUUUGAUGGCAGUACAGUAGAGAUCUCAAAUAAAUCAAGCUGAGCAGCCUGGCAGUGUAUGCAGGAAAUCAAUUGGAGGAAGAAAAGAUUAAAAAAACUAUUACACUGAGCUGCAGCUGAGUCCUUUCCUUCAAGAAGAAGGAAUCCAAACAUGUCAUCUGAUUUAAAUCAAUUAAGAAGACAAAGACAAAGCGGCAUGGCCCAAGUUAAUACGUCCAGCAAUGAAGUGUGCCCAUUUAUGCAUAAUAAAUGAAUUUUUGUUGUCUUAGCAACAGCUUGGAGAUGUGUUAUCCAUCAGGAGAACAGUCUGUUUGGAUGUUGUCAGGGUGACAAGCCGGCUACCUGUCCAUGUUACUGCAGGUCUGCUCCAGCACUGCAGCCCUGU
Long non-coding RNA from Parus major (Great Tit), 565 nucleotides. RefSeq lists it as uncharacterized. The transcript is spliced from 3 exons. NCBI's taxonomy places the organism in Eukaryota, Metazoa, Chordata, Aves, Passeriformes, Paridae. The record is from RefSeq and is a predicted model, not a curated record.